Molecule: long non-coding RNA, 4577 nt
Organism: Quercus lobata
Lineage: Eukaryota; Viridiplantae; Streptophyta; Magnoliopsida; Fagales; Fagaceae
Exons: 2
Source: RefSeq, a predicted model, not a curated record
AAGUUUGGAUAGAGUUAGAAAUAAAGGGAAAGUUAUUUACUAAAAUUUAUUUAUAGAUUGAGAACUGGACAAGAGGGACAUAAAAGCUCUAUAACCAAUGAGGUUUCAAUAUUGAGACACGUUAAAUAACUCCGGUUGUUGUGCAGAAGAGAACCAUCAAGCUUGUUUCAAUUGGGUCUCUCAGUGGAUCAGAUCAUGAUCCAUGUAUAUCCAUAGUACAGAACCAAGGAAAAUGUACUCAGUUUAAACUCAUUUAUAUUUACACAAACUACACGCAAUUUAAAGUUUUUUUUUUUUGAGAAGCCAGUAUAAAAGUACUGCGUCUCUGUAUUCAAGGAAAUACCAUGUCAGAUUAGUUUAUCAGUGUUGAUAUAAUUUUGAAGAAGGUAUAAGCAAACCUCUUUUACUCCUUUUUGAGCCGCUGAUGACCCCUUGUUUCCAAUGCAGAUUAAUUUGGAUGAACAUUACUAGUUCAUCUGUACAGGAUCCAUUCAUAAUAACUAGUUGGAAACCCAUGCAAUGCACGUGAAAAUUUUGACUAAAGUAUGUUAGUCUCAAGAUUUGCAUAAAAAGUAUAAUUAUAUUAUAUUGGUCUCAAACUGAAACAAUAAAUACUAAAAGAAGACUUAAAAAUAAAAAUAAAAAUAGUGUUCAUCUAACUAAAAUUUUUUGUAGUCCUCUCUAGUUUCUAUCAUAUGGGAUACCAAAUGUAUUUUUGCAUCAUAGAUUAUAUGCAAAAUAUUUAUGGCUAGAAUUCUAUAAAUUGUUUAGAUUUUCAGAAGGGACAAAUGCUAUUAGAAUCUAUGAUCGUAGUAUCUCAAUUGUUUGUCAAUAUCUAAAUUUAUGAUCAUCUUUAUGCUUAUGAUGGACCUACCACUUUCAUGAAUUUGUGAAAAAUAAAAUAAAAUAAAACACACACCAGUAAUUCGAAGGCAUCACAAACAGUUUGGUCCAACUUCUUGUGAAUUUCUUAAUCGGCUGUAGGAAGUCAUUAACAAAUUGGUUUUCAUACCUAGUACCAUAGCAUCACAGACGCCUCAAAAUUUAAUAUGAAUACAGUUGAAUGCAAUAUGACUAUUGGUGACUAUGCCAUAUUGCAUACCAUUUGACAUUUUCUGUAACACAGCAAGAGAAACAUUCGUUAUCUUAGUAGAUAAUCUUUCCAAUGUGUAGCACAUUGAUAAGAUUGAAUAUUAUCUUCUAUUUGGGAAAUUCUAAUAUACCACUCAAAAUGAGAGAGAGAGAGAGAGGUUAGGCCAUACAUUUCCUUUUUUAUUUUUAUUUUUUAGAGUGAUUGUGUAUCUUCCUUGACUAUACAUCUCUAUUAGUUUAUGCAGAAUGGAUGAAUUAAGACUUGAAAAAUGAGCAAGAACGUUGGUUUGGUCAAAUCGGAUCACUGAAUCCAGUCUACAAACCAUUGUUUGCAAAAAAGUUAAAGAGUGUGUGUAGUCUGAAGGGAAGCUUAGAGGAAGAGAAUUUCUAAGUGAGUUAAGGUCUUGGCUUUCAAGUUUCAUCAAUACGUGGGGAGGAGAAAGAGAGUUUGUAAGUGGGUUAGCUUUCAUCUACACAUGGGAAAUGAUCAUGCUUAGGUCAUAAUAUGUAAGGGAAUAAGUGGGCUUGGGCUUUUCAUAAAGUUUGGUUUGAUUUGGCCUAAUUUUCAACAACAGCUCGUCUUUUAGAUGAUAGUAAAAAGAAGUUAACUUGAUCUUUUGGGUAACAAUAAAAAAAUUUAAUGAGAAAAGAUUAAAGAAGCUAAAUACAAAUUAGAGUGCCAUAUGGCAAAACCUCAUGUGGGAGACCUCAUGUUCUCCCAUAUGAGGUUUCUGCUUAUAUAUAUAUAUAUAUAUAUAUAUAUAUAUGUAUAUAUUUUGAUAAAUAACGAUAUUUCAUAAAUCAAAAGCCCCAUGUACACCAGGAGUGUGCAUGGAAAGGAUUACAUCAAGAUCGGAAAUUACAAUGAUCAAGCAUAACAAAAAAAUUAGAGCAAGAAAAAGAAGUGAAAAUAGAACACCAAGCAAAUAAAGAGUGGAGGAGGAGAGAUUUAAUCUCAAGAAUCGACCGUUCCGUCCCCUCAAAGCAUCUACUGUUCCUUUCCCACCAAAGACACCAUAACACACAAUGUAGGGCAGCCUGCCAUAAGUCUAUACUGCGCUGUCUACCAAAUGGACCCUGCCAAGAUGCAAAUAAACUUGCAACACUUUGAGGCAUCACCCAAAUCACACCAAAAAGGUUUCAAACCAUAGACCAUAGCUUGAAGGCAAUGGGACAAUGAAGAAGAAGAUGGUUUACUGACUCCCCACUUUUUUUACACAUAUAACACCAAUCCAUGAUGGGUACAACCUUAUUCCACAAUCUAUCAAGGGUCAAAAUCUUGCAUAAGGUGGCAGUCCAAGAAAAGAAAGCAACUCUAGGAGGGAUGUUUGAGUGCCACACAGGUUUCCACAGAAAGAGGUUGUCAGGGGUCAAGAAGAGGGAUAAAUAGAACUCACUAACCUUAAAGCCCUUAUUCUUUGUCGACUUACAGCAAAGUUUGUCUUGCCCCUCACCAGUAAAGGUCAUAGAGUGUAUAAGGUUCCAAAAAAUAUCAAAUUGUUCUAUCUCCCAAUCUUGGGGCUCUCUAUAGAAUCGAAGAUCCCAAAGUAGUCUCUAAUUAGGAAAAGACAUGACAUCCGCAAGAUAGAAAUCCUUCCCAAAAUAGUUUCUGCUUAUGUAACCAAAUGCGAAUUAUACCUUUCAUAAAUCAGGCAUGAGUUUAGACAAAUUUCCACAACAACAAAGCUGCCCCAAAAUUUGGGAUCGUCAAUGGAUUCUCAACAGAUUAACUUUGGAGAAUUACAACACUAAACUGUAUUCUAGCCUAUGAAGAUGAUAAUGAUUACACCAGGAACAGGAGGUAUGAUUUAUAAUCAAGGUUUCUAAAAAACACUCAUCAAUGUAAAUAGCAGAAAGCGGUGUAGAGAGCACCAGUUAGUUAAUAGGAUAAGGCUACUCUAAUCUUCCAACAGAAAAUACCACUUUCUUAGCAAGUGUAGUUAGUGCAAAACAUAGAGGCUAUCUGGAGCCUUCAUCAAUCUGUAAAGACUAACAAGCAAUUCAGUCACACAAAACAGGCUGAAAACUAGGGAAAAUGGGUUAGAACAUAGAUUGUGACAAUCCAAUAACCUAAGCUUUCCAAGACAUACAAUAUGGCAAAUCCUAUAAUCUAAAUAAAAUUACACAGUGAUUGCAAACUUAGCUAGUUUUCACAUCUUAGUCUUUGAGCACUCCAGGAUUCAGACAACAGAACACGGACAAACAGAAAAGCAGGACACACUACCUUGUUUCUGUUAUCAGGUACAAGUAGAGAUAAGAAAAAAAUCAUAAUAUAGGCAGACAACGAUUUUUUUAGGUUGAAGAAACUUUUACAAUUCAAUCCUCAUAAAAUUCUAAGAGGAAAAUUGGAAAUUGUGAUGUUACAUGUGUCAUGAGAAUUUGUUAUUCUUUUAAGCAAAGAAAUUUUUGAUUACCAAAAAGAAGAAUCUUCUUCAAACUAUAUGUCCUUAGGCAUGACCAUACGUAACAUACAAAUCACGUUUGGAAAGGGUGGACAAUUAUCUAUAGCUUCAGCUGACGUGGUAAAACUGCUUAUUAAAGUGGGAAAAUCAACCACUAUCAUUACCCUCUAAAGAGGCCGUUUGAUAUUAAAAAACUCCAUGGUAAGGUUCUUAACAUAUAGAGAGAAAAAAAAUGAUAAAGUUUGAGAGCACCUCCAAUCUUUAAGCAAUAUCAAGAACUAGUAUAAUUUCCCAGCAGAAAAAACUAAGCAGCAUAGAUUGCACAAUUACAAUUCACAUGGAACAUAUUCAGGUCCAAAGGCAGUUCAGGUCCAAAAGGGAAUUAGGUAAACUUAGUUUGAAGUAACCUACUGAAUAGGUGAUUGAGUUUGGAUCGAAGAUUACUUGUAAAAAUCAUGAAUGAAAUCUAGCAUUCCCUUCUGAUACUGUCAACCUCCACUGAUCUUCAAGUAUGCCAAUUAAUUUAACUUCCAACAUUUGAUCCUAAAUGUGACAAUAACUUUAUCUUUGCUCAAACCGAAUUCUAUAAUUAAGUACAUGGAGUAAUACACUAGCUUCUCCAUCUAGAACAUAGAUCUAAAUCCAAAAAACUAAACUCAACAAUAACAACCAAGCCUUUUAGUGUCAAAAUUUUGGAGUCAUCUAUCGAUCCUCAAUAGACUAGUCAGAGUUGGCCAUGUGUAUUCUUUGCUAUCAUUCUAUUCUAUUGAAGUUAUAAUCCCAAACCCUUUUCUACCCAACACCAAGACACCCAAAAACUGAAGCUGAAGAUCAAAAUCCAGACAAAAUUCAUAGAGUAAAAAUCAAAUUCAAAUCCAAAUAAAUCAAAGUUUCAAAUAGGUCACUUGAUUCCUGGUUAAACUCUUAGCAAAAAAUGCAUUCUAACAAUACACGCGAAUACACCCCUUAUAUUGCUUCCCAUUUUCUUUCCAUUUCUCUCCUCUAAUUUUCUCGAGAGUGAUGCUAAUUGCUAAGUAUACUACAAAUAUUAUUACAUAAACCUUAUAAAUUGAUGUGUAUGUG